GGCGGCGUCUACGUCAGCCCGAUGUUCCUCUACGCGCUGCUCGCCCUGGCCCUGACCAUCGCGCUGCGCAAGCUGCUGCAGGCCACGCCGGCGGGGCGCUGGAUCUGGCACGAGGCGCUGUUCGACUGCGCCCUG
RNAcentral lists this small RNA (135 nucleotides) under Pseudomonas citronellolis. RNAcentral describes it as "Pseudomonas sRNA P18". It matches the Rfam family "Pseudomonas sRNA P18". The record is from RNAcentral. Lineage: Bacteria; Pseudomonadati; Pseudomonadota; Gammaproteobacteria; Pseudomonadales; Pseudomonadaceae.